Molecule: ribosomal RNA, 451 nt
Filed under: uncultured bacterium
Lineage: Bacteria
Description: bacterial SSU rRNA
Rfam family: Bacterial small subunit ribosomal RNA
Source: RNAcentral
GUGAGGAAUAUUGCGCAAUGGGGGCAACCCUGACGCAGUGACGCCGCGUGAGUGAUGAAGGCUUUCGAGUUGUAAAGCUCUGUUAGGUGGAAAGAAACACUCCAGCGCUAAUAUCGCUGGGGCUUGACGGUACCACCAGAGGAAGCACCGGCUAACUCCGUGCCAGCAGCCGCGGUAAUACGGAGGGUGCAAGCGUUGUUCGGAUUUACUGGGCGUAAAGGGCGUGUAGGCGGUUGGCUAAGUCAGAUGUGAAAGCCCUUGGCUUAACCAAGGAAGAGCAUUUGAAACUGGCUAACUAGAGUACAGGAGAGGAAAGUGGAAUUCCCAGUGUAGAGGUGAAAUUCAUAGAUAUUGGGAGGAACACCGGUAGCGAAGGCGGCUUUCUGGUCUGAUACUGACGCUGAGACGCGAAAGCGUGGGGAGCAAACAGGAUUAGAUACCCCAGUAGUCC